Mastomys coucha (southern multimammate mouse) is the source of this 374-nucleotide long non-coding RNA. RefSeq lists it as uncharacterized. The transcript is spliced from 2 exons. Lineage: Eukaryota; Metazoa; Chordata; Mammalia; Rodentia; Muridae. The record is from RefSeq and is a predicted model, not a curated record.
UCACGGCCCUGGGAGAACAUGGUUAAGAAGUGAACUGGGGCCCUGCCCCAUAUGGGGUUCAUUUCCCUUUGCGGCGCUGUAGAGAGCUGAUGCAAGAGUUCCACACGUCCUCCCCUUGGUGUGGAGAUUUUUAAGAAGUGUUGUGAUCAGGAGGGAAGUCAGAAAAUGGAUCACAGACUUCAACGGAUGUCUGGCUUGGGACAUGUGGACACUGCCUCUGCUGUGUCCUCAGCGGAGAGACUGCCACGAGCCCCUGGUAUCCAGUCCCUGCAUCUUCUGAGAUGGCUCCAGGAGAAAGGGGCCAAAUACUGGUAUUAAAAAAAAACAAAACCUUAUAAUCAAAAUAAAAACAUUUAGAGGUAGGGGCUCAUGUA